ACAAGGCACAUAGUCACAAAUAAAGGAAGACUUCAACAGUAACAGCAAAAUUAAAGUUCUGUGCCCUCAUGGUGGCUCCUUUUUGGCUGGUGUCCUCACUAACAAAUCAGACUUCUCUUGGCUGUAAAAGCUCCUGGGGGCUUGCAUGAACACUUGGCUGUUUUGGAGGGAAGUGUUACUUCGUUAUGUAGAAGAUGACAACAUCGCUUCAGAUCUGGAUGUAGACGGCCUUGGAGUUGUUGACAGUUGAAUCAAAAGACUAUCUGGCCUGGAGAAGCUGGAGGCUUGGUUUCCAGAAAGAAGAGUUGGUGCUGAGAGGUGGGUUCCAGGGAGAAAAUGAGGCCCAAAGAGAACAUGAAGAUCCUGACUGAAGGACAGGUCUGGGAAGUGAGGGAAGAUUCUGGAGGUGAGGUAAAUGCAUGGAGACCAAUGACAGGAGAUGCCCAGCACCAAAUAAUCGUGCCUGAGACCAGAAACUGCAAGCAGAAUCGUAGCAGAAUCCAGCAGGAGUUUCUGCCCAACCUGCUCUAGCCAACGACCUGCCUGCAGGGAAAUCAAGACCUUGGGAACAUCAUGGGGAAGCUGUAACAGCCGUAGAGAAUAAGCAUAGAAAAAAACAAACCCUGCUGAAGUUUUUGCAGAGGUGAUAUUCUUUGUUUUCCCAAGGAUUCUGGAUGAACCUUAAGGCGAGCUAUGAGAUGGAGAAGGAAGCAGAGAGGGGGAAGUGCUGCUGUUAAUUUGGCAUUCAUCUUAAGGAGCUGAAUGGCAGCCAGAAGUAGUGCAGAUGGCAUCUCAAUUCCCUCUUCUUUUGAAGAAAAUGUAUUUUUAAUACAGUAACUUUUUGUUUCCAUUAAGACAUUUUUAGCUGUGGAAUAAGGACAGUUAAAGGCAGUAGUUAAACCACCAGCUUUUAGAUGACAUUUCUGAAAGCAGUUUAUUUCCCAGAGUGAUAGAUGUAUGAAACAUAUGGUUUCUUCAAAGCCACAACCAAGGAGCUGGAUAGUAAGGAUGCAGGGGGUUAGUUGGCAGACACCCUAGGAAGGAAGCG
Molecule: long non-coding RNA, 1048 nt
Filed under: Gallus gallus (chicken)
Lineage: Eukaryota; Metazoa; Chordata; Aves; Galliformes; Phasianidae
Description: long non-coding RNA NONGGAT003962
Source: RNAcentral